UCUCCCUCUCUAUCUCUCUCUCUCCCUCUCUUUCUCUCUUCCCUGAGAGCCCACCCCUCAAAAAAUUGGGGUUUUCCCUUCCUUCAUCUUCUUCCCCUUCCUUGAGAGCAGCUGCCGCCGCCGCCGCCGGAGCCGCCAACGCCGCCGGAGAACCACAAGUCGACGACUAGAGGUGAGAAAGGUAACCUAUUUAUUUUUUUUUUUUGGAAUUUAAGGGGAGAGAAAUGAGGGAUGCCAACCGGGUUCCAUU
RNAcentral lists this long non-coding RNA (250 nucleotides) under Phoenix dactylifera (date palm). RNAcentral describes it as "long non-coding RNA (PDAC_LNC021963)". The record is from RNAcentral. Lineage: Eukaryota; Viridiplantae; Streptophyta; Magnoliopsida; Arecales; Arecaceae.